This 459-nucleotide long non-coding RNA is filed under the name Mus pahari (shrew mouse). RNAcentral describes it as "lncRNA (MGP_PahariEiJ_G0005510.1)". The record is from RNAcentral. Lineage: Eukaryota; Metazoa; Chordata; Mammalia; Rodentia; Muridae.
CCUUCCAUAUCCGGAUGACCAAAACCACCUCCAAUCAUCACCAAGAGUCUUGGGGUAAAGUAAAGUCACCCCUUGGUAAAUUAAUGGGUCUGCAAACAACUGAAGGUACAAACAAGAUCAGGAGCCUUCCUCCUUAUCAAAGUGUAUUUAUAGGCCACUGAUUUGCAUCUUCAGUCUUCAUAAACAAAGCAAGUCACCUUUGCCUUUCUGGAACUUCUCCAUAUGCUUACCUAGAAGUUCGCCUGGUGAUAGCCUGCAGCAGAGUUGAAGGCCAAGGGAGAACUAAGCGAUCUGGACCUAGAAGAGACAGCGCUGUGAGCAGCAGAGAGUGCUGGGGGCUGAGAGCCAGCUAUUAUGAGAAGGAAGUCCCAUUUUCCGAGUUUUAACUUUGAAAAAUCACAAUACGUUUUUCUAUGUUGUCAACAAACUUCAGUAAAGAACACUUUACUGAGUGUUGAA